Molecule: long non-coding RNA, 775 nt
Filed under: Marmota monax (woodchuck)
Lineage: Eukaryota; Metazoa; Chordata; Mammalia; Rodentia; Sciuridae
Source: RNAcentral
GUUUUCCCUCCUCAUGGGGGAAGGGGAAGAGCGUGACUGUCUCUUCACUUCACUGGUUAGAGGGGUUUCAUGGCUUUAUUUGUGUUCCCUUGAGUUUGGGAUCAAAAGGACUGAGUCUGUCUGCUGCUGAUGAAAACCCACAGGGCGGGAGAGAUGAAGAGUGACCUGCUUGGUUCCAGAUGAUGCAGAGCUGCUGGCUGCAUCAGGAGCAUUCUGUCCUCCCAGAGUUUGUCAGAUGUGGAGCACGUGUUUUGGCCCUUGCUUCAGGGAAGAGGAAGCAGAUGAAGCUUCAAAAAGAAGGGCCUGAAUGAGUAACUCAGAGCAGAGAGGUAACAGCACCUGUGAGACAGACUUCCUGGCUGUACCAUGGGAAUUACAGCUAAAGAAGCUCAGCAGGAAAUCUCCCAAGGAACCCAGGAAAGCACUCGGGUGAGAAAUUCCACUUGUCAUGUGAGAACUUUCCCCUUCUCCCUCCCCUUACAAGUAGGAAGGAAAGUUGGCUCUUUCCCUCCUCAAAAGGCAGGUGUCAGCCAACUUCAGGUCCAAGUUAGGAAGGUAAAGUAUUAUUUUUGAAGUAUUGAUUCAUAUAUUGACUUAAAUAUUUCUGAAUACCAAAUUGAGACAUGCCAAAAUGAUACAAACUAAAUAUUCCUUAACUCGAAUGCUUGGAGCCAGAGUGUUUUGAAUUUCAGAUUGCAGAAUACUUACUUACAUAUUCACAAUGACAUAUUUUCACACUGGGAACAAAGUCUAAACCUGCAAUCCACAUGUUUCA